GAGUUCCCCUUUGAGACUCUUGAGGGCUUGGGGAGAAACGAAUUGAGAACGCCUGUGCAAGAAACAAUUGCUUGUGUUUGGUUUCCGAUAAAUAGCAGAGGAGUAGAGAGGCACCGAGACCUGGUGGAUGCAUAAGGCACUCAAGCUUUUGGGUCUUGAGCCUUCAGCUCAGUACCUCACUAGGAUCAUCCAUGGCGGCAUCUCGCCCGAUCUUCCGUUCUGCUUCAACCUCUCCAAGCGUGAAAUUUCUCCUCCGCUUCAAUAGAACAUCAACCACGCUCUCUCACCAUAAUCAAUACCAGCUUCAGCACGAGUUCUCGAAACCCAAUGAGUUUCCUAGGAGCUGGAAAUCCUUUAAGGAUCCGAAGGUAGCUGGGGCGAGAGUAUGCGAAGCGGGUGAAAUAGCUGCGCAAAAAGUUAUAUCAAUGAGAUGGAGUUGCACAGGCAGGAGAAGCAAUUGAAGGUCGAGGCCAAGCAUGAGGCUAUUCGUCUCGCCAGGGAGGAGUGAAAGCCGCCAAGGCUGCCAUGGCUCAGGCACGUCCGUCGAACCUUCCUGAAAGAACAGAGAAGCUCGAAUAUAGGAGAUCAAGAGGAAAAGGAGUGAAGGAUAAAAGGAACGAAAAGAAAGAGCUUUUGCGUCGGCAGAGUUCCAUGUGUGUAGAUGAACAAGAGCUGGAGAAGAAAAUAUUGGAGGCCAUUGUUGAUACCACUCCUCUCUAAGUCCAAGCUUCUCUAUACUUGCUCCCAUCAGUAUCUGGAUAUUUUAUUCUUUUCAUGUGAUGUGGACUGAUCAAUUUAUCGGCCUUUCUUGGAUUGACAUUCAGGUAAAGUGUUGCACCUGCAGCCAUUUGUGAAGUGGAUGAAUUACAAAUUGCCUGGCCCUUCUCUACUCAGAAUAUUUGAAUUCGGUUUUCGGACAGCUUAUACUUUAGGUAAGAUUACAAUUUGAAAGAGGGUUCUUUGAACAAGCGGCAUAGAGGAGCACACCAAUGAGAUGCAGCAAAGCAGUAUCAUAUAUUGGAGGGCAGCGAGGUCGUUUCAUGUGAGGAGAGAGAUAGACACAGAGGUGCUAAUGUACCCUGCCUCAACGACUCAAUGUGUUGGGGCCUUCUCUAUGGUUUAAAGCAAGUGAAAGAUGGAGGAUGGAGCAUAGGGGAAAUAUGGAAUGAUUCAAGGAAUUAGAACUUUUAACUUGUGAAAGUAGUAGCACCCUAUCGUGACCUCGGAGCCCAGUCCCUUUUUUUUUGGGAUAUUUAUAGUCUUUUGUUUAUACCAUAUUUUUGGCUCAGGCGUAGAAAAGAAGUGGUCCUACUUAUGUGUAAUAUAUUAUAGCCUGUAUGGCUGUGAAUAAACAAUCUCAUCUCAA
This is a long non-coding RNA of Macadamia integrifolia, 1366 nucleotides long. RefSeq lists it as uncharacterized. The transcript is spliced from 3 exons. NCBI's taxonomy places the organism in Eukaryota, Viridiplantae, Streptophyta, Magnoliopsida, Proteales, Proteaceae. The record is from RefSeq and is a predicted model, not a curated record.